UCCCUGGUGGCUCAGAGGUUAAAGCAUCCACCUGUAAUGUGGGACGCCUGGUUCGAUCCCUGGAUUGGGAA
This 71-nucleotide transfer RNA is filed under the name Ovis aries (sheep). It matches the Rfam family "tRNA". Rfam says of the family: Transfer RNA (tRNA) molecules are approximately 80 nucleotides in length. Their secondary structure includes four short double-helical elements and three loops (D, anti-codon, and T loops). Lineage: Eukaryota; Metazoa; Chordata; Mammalia; Artiodactyla; Bovidae. The record is from Rfam by way of RNAcentral.